RNAcentral lists this ribosomal RNA (253 nucleotides) under uncultured bacterium. RNAcentral's name for it is "partial 16S ribosomal RNA". It matches the Rfam family "Bacterial small subunit ribosomal RNA", at positions 524 to 776 of the family's 1533-position model. The record is from RNAcentral.
UACGUAGGUGGCGAGCGUUGUCCGGAUUUAUUGGGUUUAAAGGGUGCGUAGGCGGCUCAUUAAGUCAGUGGUGAAAUACGGCAGCUUAACUGUCGAGGUGCCAUUGAUACUGGUGAGCUAGAGUACUGAUGAGGUAGGCGGAAUGGACGGUGUAGCGGUGAAAUGCUUAGAGAUCGUCCAGAACACCGAUAGCGAAGGCAGCUUACUAAGGAGUAACUGACGCUGAGGCACGAAAGUGUGGGGAUCAAACAGG